RNAcentral lists this long non-coding RNA (782 nucleotides) under Nicotiana benthamiana. Its description in RNAcentral is "long non-coding RNA (NBEN_LNC029612)". The record is from RNAcentral. Lineage: Eukaryota; Viridiplantae; Streptophyta; Magnoliopsida; Solanales; Solanaceae.
UUUAUACACCCUUAUCCUCUUCUUCUCCCUUGAAGAAAUCCUAGCAGCUUCACCUCAAAUCCUAGCCUGUACCCAAGAGAAUAUUGAGAUCUUCUAUAUUUCCUUUUCUUUUUUUCUGUACUUACAAGCGUUCUUUCCCAUUUUCUUGACAUUACUCGUUUGGUACUGAGUUAUUUAUGGGAGCUUAUCAAUAGGCAUUUGCUCGACUCCGAUUCUAUAUUAUUAGCAUGUUCUUAACUUGAUACACCCACUACCAUGCCCCAUGGUUCUGAUGUAGUGAAAUUUUUGCUAAUCUGUUCUUCGUCUAAAUUAGGGUUUACCAUUUUCCCCCUAAAUUGAUCCUAAUUGAUUUUGCAUGCUAUAUUUUCCUUAUUUCUGUUUAAUCGAUUGUCUUUCCUUGUUGGGUACUUAAUUUUGAUGCUACAUAAAUCCCUCCCCAGUUUCUCUUUUGGGGGGACUUUAAUCACUUAAGAACCACUAUUAUUCUCUCAUACCCUCAUUCACUCGAUACUAUUAUGAAUCUAUUGCUCUUUGCCGGCUGAAACCCAAGGCCUCUGGAAUACUCUAUAACAAUUUCCCUAGUGCGAGCACUGGUUGGGGUCCAUUUGAGGAUCCUGUGAACUCUGACGUACUAGGAUUUAGGUCUUUUGGUUGUUCUCUUUGCUAGUGAUAUUCGAGUUGUUUCUGACACUUAGCCUGUGUCUCUCAGUUUGGUUGUUGAAUUUUCUAACUAGCAAGCACUUUGACUCUUGCAAUCUAUUCUUAGUUGUGGUCAUGACCUG